AGGAUUAACGCUGGCGGCGUGCCUAACACAUGCAAGUCGAACGAGGUAGCAAUACCUAGUGGCAGACGGGUGAGUAACGCGUGGUCAACCUACCGUUGAGUGGGGGAUAACUAGCCGAAAGGUUAGCUAAUACCGCAUACGAGUCCCGGGGGGAUCCCUGGGCCUUAAAAGGAGCAAUCCGCUCGAUGACGGGACCGCGUCCCAUUAGCUAGAUGGUGGGGUAAUGGCCUACCAUGGCUCCGAUGGGUAGCUGGUUUGAGAGAGCGACCAGCCACACUGGGACUGAGAAACGGCCCAGACUCCUACGGGAGGCAGCAGUGAGGAAUUUUCCGCAAUGGGCGAAAGCCUGACGGAGCGACGCCGCGUGUGGGAAGAAGGCCUUCGGGUCGUAAACCACUGUCGAAGGGGACGAUAAUGACGGUACCCUUGGAGGAAGCCCCGGCUAACUACGUGCCAGCAGCCGC
RNAcentral lists this ribosomal RNA (464 nucleotides) under uncultured bacterium. Its description in RNAcentral is "SSU rRNA". It matches the Rfam family "Bacterial small subunit ribosomal RNA", at positions 26 to 518 of the family's 1533-position model. The record is from RNAcentral.